This 489-nucleotide ribosomal RNA is filed under the name uncultured Sphingobacteriales bacterium. Its description in RNAcentral is "bacterial SSU rRNA". It matches the Rfam family "Bacterial small subunit ribosomal RNA", at positions 886 to 1382 of the family's 1533-position model. The record is from RNAcentral. Lineage: Bacteria; Pseudomonadati; Bacteroidota; Sphingobacteriia; Sphingobacteriales.
GCUCAAGAAACUUAAAGGAAUUGACGGGGCCCGCACAAGCGGAGGAGCAUGUGGUUUAAUUCGAUGAUACGCGAGGAACCUUACCUGGGCUCGAACGUAAGAUGACUGUAGGUGAAAGCUUACAUCUCUUCGGAGCAUUUUACGAGGUGCUGCAUGGUUGUCGUCAGCUCGUGCCGUGAGGUGUCGGGUUAAGUCCCAUAACGAGCGCAACCCUACCUUUAGUUGCCAUCAGGUAAUGCUGGGGACUCUAAAGGAACUGCCUACGCAAGUAGUGAGGAAGCGGGGAUGACGUCAAAUCAGCACGGCCCUUACGUCCAGGGCUACACACGUGCUACAAUGGCCGAUACAGAGGGCAGCUACCUGGUGACAGGAUGCAAAUCUCCAAAGUCGGUCUCAGUUCGGAUCGGAGUCUGCAACCCGACUCCGUGAAGUUGGAUUCGCUAGUAAUCGCGCAUCAGCCAUGGCGCGGUGAAUACGUUCCCGGGCCUU